AUUGAACGCUGGCGGCAUGCCUUACACAUGCAAGUCGAACGGCAGCAUAGGAGCUUGCUCCUGAUGGCGAGUGGCGAACGGGUGAGUAAUAUAUCGGAACGUGCCCUAGAGUGGGGGAUAACUAGUCGAAAGACUAGCUAAUACCGCAUACGAACUACGGAUGAAGGAGGGGGAUCGCAAGACCUCCUGCCACUGGAACGGCCGAUAUCUGAUUAGCUAGUUGGUGGGGUAAAAGCUCCCCAAGGCGACGAUAAGUAGCUGGUCUGAGAGGACGACCAGCCACACUGGGACUGAGACACGGCCCAGACUCCUACGGGAGGCAGCAGUGGGGAAUUUUGGACAAUGGGGGCAACCCUGAUCCGGCAAUGCCGCGUGAGUGAAGAAGGCCUUCGGGUUGUAAAGCUCUUUUGUCAGGGAAGAAACGGUUCUGGAUAAUACCUGGGACUAAUGACGGUACCUGAAGAAUAAGCACCGGCUAACUACGUGCCAGCCGCCGCAGUAA
Molecule: ribosomal RNA, 502 nt
Filed under: uncultured bacterium
Lineage: Bacteria
Description: partial 16S ribosomal RNA
Rfam family: Bacterial small subunit ribosomal RNA
Source: RNAcentral